Crotalus tigris (Tiger rattlesnake) is the source of this 1066-nucleotide long non-coding RNA. RefSeq lists it as uncharacterized. Lineage: Eukaryota; Metazoa; Chordata; Lepidosauria; Squamata; Viperidae. The transcript is spliced from 3 exons. The record is from RefSeq and is a predicted model, not a curated record.
UUGGCCUGUCAGUUAAAAGGGUUAACAAAAGAUAAUGUGAAAUAUCUCUGUCCAAUUCAAUAUCAUUGCCAAGGAGAUUAUAAUGGGCUGCAAAGAUUAAUGAAUUUGAUGUAAACAGUGUCCUCCCAUAUUUCAGGAGAAACUAUUCAAGGCCCCUCCAAGUACAGAAAGAAACUCAAAGUUUGAGAAAGUCACAGAGAAAAAAAGAAAGAAGAGACUCCAGUAAUACAGCCCUGACUGAAAAGAUGUAACCAGUACUGAAAUAAUUUCCUCCCAAUCCUUUUUCUCAAGCUGCCAGCAAGAUGAGGACACUCUUUCCUGUACAUUAUUUAAAUCUAGCGAAGAAGCCACCUGCUCCCUUCACUUUGAUUUCUCAGAACACCCCAAAUGUUUAUUUCAAGGAGUUCAGGGCCAGCUUAUUUAGGGGGAGACACACAUAUAUAUUCUCCUCUCCUUCUCUUUCUACCCAGUCCCCCCUUAGGACACAGUUAAUGAGUAACUAUAGCGUGCUUGGAGGCAGCUGUUUCAGACAAACCAAAGAGAAGGUUUUUUUGUUUUCUUUUUUUGGAGCUACAUAAGGGAGCAUUUGUUCUGUGGCUUCUCAAUAGAUCCUUGUACAGGAGGCUAAAGAGAGGCGGGAGGCGAAGGAAGAGACACUAAAUCACCCUAACUUCUGGAAUUUUACUGAUAUAUACAUAUAUCCUUUUCAUAAUAGCACCAGACUUUCAAGUCUUAGCUUCUCAUUUAGUCUUAGGUGAACUUCUUUAAAAACCAAUCUCAACUUCUAAAAAGGCUUUAAAUCACAGAGGGAGCUGAAGUACACAGUAUGUACUUGAAAUGUGAUAUCUACCUCUUCCUUAUCACACUACAUAAGAAACUUGAGGUACCCCCAAACUAUCAAACUAUAUUGCUGUAACAGGCUUGUCUGCAUUAUGUACAGUAUAACCUCCAUCAUCCACAACCAACAUGGUAUUUGACAGCUGGAGUGCAGCACUUUGGAGGAGAAUGUCUAUGAAUGUACAGUUCCACCAGGAAACUUUGAGACACUUGAUAAUGCAUGGCAUCA